CCUACGGGUGACAGCAGUGGGGAAUAUUGGGCAAUGGGCGCAAGCCUGACCCAGUAACGCCGCGUGAAGGAAGAAGGCUUUCGGGUUGUAAACCUCUUUUCUCAGGGACGAAGAAAGCGACGGUACCUGAGGAAUAAGCCACGGCUAACUACGUGCCAGCAGCCGCGGUACUACGUAGGGUGCAAGCGUUAUCCGGAUUUACUGGGUGUAAAGGGCGAGUAGGCGGGAAAGCAAGUCAGAUGUGAAAACCAUGGGCUCAACCGGUGGCCUGCAUUUGAAACUGUUUUUCUUGAGUACUGGAGGGGCAGGCGGAAUUCCUAGUGUAGCGGUGAAAUGCGUAGAUAUUAGGAGGAACACCAGUGGCGAAGGCGGUCUGCUGGACAGCAACUGACGCUGAGGCGCGAAAGCGUGGGGAGCAAACAGGAUUAGAUACCCGAGUAGUC
This 443-nucleotide ribosomal RNA is filed under the name uncultured bacterium. RNAcentral's name for it is "partial 16S ribosomal RNA". It matches the Rfam family "Bacterial small subunit ribosomal RNA", at positions 338 to 795 of the family's 1533-position model. The record is from RNAcentral.